Mercurialis annua (annual mercury) is the source of this 2064-nucleotide long non-coding RNA. RefSeq lists it as uncharacterized. The transcript has 2 exons. Lineage: Eukaryota; Viridiplantae; Streptophyta; Magnoliopsida; Malpighiales; Euphorbiaceae. The record is from RefSeq and is a predicted model, not a curated record.
UGAAACACAGGUUUUAAUUACAAAAAUGUAAAUAUUUUUUUAAAAACAUUAUUUGCACUUUUAACCUAGUGUUCCAUGGUGACGUAUGUGUGGCACGGCAAGCAGGCGCCACAUAAGCAAAAGCGAGAGUGUCUUUUGAGGGUUGAACAUUUUUAAAACCAAAACCUGGGUUUUAUUAAUUAAUUAGUGUUAUUGUUUAAUUAGAAAAUAUAAGUUGGAUUCGAAUUAAUAAUUAUAUUAAUAGUUACAAUAAUAUUAAAGAUAUUAACAAAAUAAUUAAAAUGAUAUUUGAUACCCACCUCAUAAUGUCUAAACUCCAUGCGAACUAUUGAUCGCCUUUAGAUAAUAACAACAACAUAACAUUGAUGAUGAGUUGAGAUGGCAUUAUGAUCCUGAAGGUAUCUACACUGUUAGAAGUGGGUACAGAACUGCUCUAGAAGGUAAAGGCAUUCCAUUAGCUUCUGAUUCUUCCAAAAAAAGUCGAGUGGUGGAAGUAUUUAUGCGUGCUUGUAUGCCUGUGAAAAUCGAAAUUUGUCUUUGGAAAUGCUGGCUUCCUGUGAGAGUCAAUCUUACCAGAAGAGGGAUGAAAAUUAAUCAGGAUUGUCAUGUGUGCAAUUCUGAUCAGGAAACUAUUAUUCAUGUUUAAUGGUUCUGUUAAAGUGCUCAAGCGGUUUGGAAAAAUUGGCAUGUAGCAGCAACUCUGAAUCUUGAUGGGGGAUGGAGCAAACAAGACCUGAUUUAUCAUGCUUAUAGUAAAAUGCUUAAAACUAAUUUUCUGAUGUUUUAUUUUGGCUUCUUUGGAAUAACAUGAAUGCUGCUGUUUUUGAUAAUGCAACUAAGAGUCAGCUUCUGGAUUGCGCAGUGUGUUAUCUCGAAUAUCAAAAGAUUCAAAAAAUGGCAAGCUGCAGAACCCAAAUCAACCAAAAUGAGCACCGAUAGUCGAUGGAUUCCUCCUAGAGCAGGCACCUUCUCAGUCAUUCUUAAUGCAAGCUUUGAAAAGAGUACAAGUUUUAGCACAAGGGUGGCCAUAAAGAUAUCAAUGGUAGGACUAGAGCAGCAGCUAACAGACAGUACAGAGGUUAGCUGGAAACAAGGGCAGGAGAAGCUUGUGCCAUUAGAGAUGGACCGCUCUUGGCGACGGAGGUGAACCCGAUUUCCUUCGAGGUCCUCUCAGACUCAAAGCUUAAAUAUAGCACAAAAGCAUGGAGCAUAAAUCCAUAAUACAGCACCUGGAUUCGCAUUGUGGACAGGAAGUUGUAACCAGGAACAUAUAUGGAAUUGCUGCAUUGCUACCUCCUCAGAGCAUAUCAAAAGUUUCAGAGGCAUCGGAGGGAAAUCUGCCGGUCAAUGUCAUUCACAGAGUCCACCUGGAAAAUUGAUAGGCAAGUUGUAACAAUUUCAUGCUCGUAAUCAUGUAAUGAGUUUCAUUCAGUUCUUUGCCGGCACAUCUACAGGUUUGAUGCAGUAGACACGGGAUCCAAGAUGCUCAACUUCUAGGCCAGCAGCUUCACACCCAGUGAAGAAUAGAGAUUCAUCCUCCUUGCCAAUUCUGCGUCUCCAACUCAUUAAAAAUGCUGGCCGCGGAAGCUUUAUAUAUGUUCCUGCCAACAUUGACAAACAAAUUUAGCAAAAUGGUCAAUUUCGUAUUCUACUUCCUGUGUCUUCCACAAAAGGUUAAAAAGAUUCUAGUUUCUUCUUUGAGAAAAGUAAUGAUUCAUUAGCACAAUACCUUCAUUCUGCUUAAUUUCUUUCACUACUUUGUCACUUUUUGGCUUGUAGGAUUUAAGGAGAAACGAAAGUGUUUUAAUCAAGUUGGGAUACUGUUUCACGUCUGCAAGCAUUAGAGAGAAAUUAGUAUAAUCUUGAAAGAUUCCUGGUGAGAAAAUAGGCAGGAAGCUAAUAAGAAAUUCGAACAUAACGUAUGCGGUCCCAUGUAAAUCAGCAGUCUUACUAAAUUAGCAUAUGGCGACCAUGAAACGUGAUGUACACUACUUUCUACAUGACAGUAGAAAUUUGUCUUCGGCUGUUUAAUUCUUUAUAUUAUUAUUAUGCAAUAUUAUCCCA